UUUGAACGCGAAGAACCUUACCAGGUCUUGACAUCCAGUGCAAACGUAAGAGAUUAGGUGUUCCUUUCGGGGACGGAGAGACAGGUGGUGCAUGGCUGUCGUCAGCUCGUGUCGUGAGAUGUGGGGUUAAGUCCCGCAACGAGCGCACCCCUUGUCAUUAGUUCCCAUCAUUAAGUUGGGCACUCUAAUGAGACUGCCGGUGACAACCCGGAGGAAGGUGGGGAUGACGUCAAAUCAUCAUGCCCCUUAUGACCUGGGCUACACACGUGCUACAAUGGCCGGUACAAAGGGAAGCGAACCUGCGAAGGCAAGCGRAUCUCUUAAAGCCGGCUCAUUUCGGACUGUAGUCUGCAACUCGCCUAGCACGAAGCUGGAAUCGCUAGUAAUCGCGAU
Molecule: ribosomal RNA, 393 nt
Filed under: uncultured bacterium
Lineage: Bacteria
Description: bacterial SSU rRNA
Rfam family: Bacterial small subunit ribosomal RNA
Source: RNAcentral